AUCCUCAUAUGGAUAACUGCGGAAAUACUGGAGCUAAUACAUGCAACUAUACCCCAACGCAAGGCGGGGUGCAAUUAUUAGAACAGACCAAACGUUUUCGGACGUUGUUUGUUGACUCUGAAUAAAGCAGUUUACUGUCAGUUUCGACUGACUCUAUCCGGAAAGGGUGUCUGCCCUUUCAACUAGAUGGUAGUUUAUUGGACUACCAUGGUUGUUACGGGUAACGGAGAAUAAGGGUUCGACUCCGGAGAGGGAGCCUUAGAAACGGCUACCACGUCCAAGGAAGGCAGCAGGCGCGAAACUUAUCCACUGUUGAGUAUGAGAUAGUGACUAAAAAUAUAAAGACUCAUCCUUUUGGAUGAGUUAUUUCAAUGAGUUGAAUACAAAUGAUUCUUCGAGUAGCAAGGAGAGGGCAAGUCUGGUGCCAGCAGCCGCGGUAAUUCCAGCUCUCCUAGUGUAUCUCGUUAUUGCUGCGGUUAAAA
Molecule: ribosomal RNA, 482 nt
Filed under: unidentified nematode Sourhope farm
Lineage: Eukaryota; Metazoa; Nematoda
Description: SSU rRNA
Rfam family: Eukaryotic small subunit ribosomal RNA
Source: RNAcentral